CCUACGGGUGGCAGCAGUGGGGAAUAUUGGGCAAUGGGCGAAAGCCUGACCCAGCAACGCCGCGUGAAGGAAGAAGGCUUUCGGGUUGUAAACUUCUUUUCUCAGGGACGAAGCAAGUGACGGUACCUGAGGAAUAAGCCACGGCUAACUACGUGGCAGCAGCCGCGGUAAUACGUAGGUGGCAAGCGUUAUCCGGAUUUACUGGGUGUAAAGGGAGUGUAGGCGGGAAAGCAAGUCAGAUGUGAAAACCAUGGGCUCAACCUGUGGACUGCAUUUGAAACUGUUUUUCUUGAGUACAGGAGAGGCAGACGGAAUUCCUAGUGUAGCGGUGAAAUGCGUAGAUAUUAGGAGGAACACCAGUGGCGAAGGCGGUCUGCUGGACAGCAACUGACGCUGAGGCGCGAAAGCGUGGGGAGCAAACAGGAUUAGAUACCCGAGUAGUC
RNAcentral lists this ribosomal RNA (443 nucleotides) under uncultured bacterium. Its description in RNAcentral is "partial 16S ribosomal RNA". It matches the Rfam family "Bacterial small subunit ribosomal RNA", at positions 338 to 795 of the family's 1533-position model. The record is from RNAcentral.